Molecule: ribosomal RNA, 467 nt
Filed under: uncultured bacterium
Lineage: Bacteria
Description: partial 16S ribosomal RNA
Rfam family: Bacterial small subunit ribosomal RNA
Source: RNAcentral
GACGAACGCUGGCGGCGUGCUUAACACAUGCAAGUCGAACGGAAAGGCCUCUUUCGGGGGGUACUCGAGUGGCGAACGGGUGAGUAACACGUGAGUAACCUGCCCUUGACUUUGGGAUAACUUCAGGAAACUGGGGCUAAUACCGGAUAGGAGCUCCUGCUGCAUGGUGGGGGUUGGAAAGUUUCGGCGGUUGGGGAUGGGCUCGCGGCUUAUCAGCUUGUUGGUGGGGUAGUGGCCUACCAAGGCCUUGACGGGUAGCCGGCCUGAGAGGGUGACCGGCCACAUUGGGACUGAGAUACGGCCCAGACUCCUACGGGAGGCAGCAGUGGGGAAUAUUGCACAAUGGGUGGAAGCCUGAUGCAGCAACGCCGUGUGCGGGAUGACGGCCUUCGGGUUGUAAACCGCUUUCGCUCAUGACGAAGCUUUGUGUGACGGUAGUGAGUAAAGAAGCACCGGCUAACUACGUG